Molecule: long non-coding RNA, 546 nt
Organism: Solea senegalensis (Senegalese sole)
Lineage: Eukaryota; Metazoa; Chordata; Actinopteri; Pleuronectiformes; Soleidae
Exons: 2
Source: RefSeq, a predicted model, not a curated record
GCGUCAUGAUUUACCUUUUAAUGGCGGGCGUGACUGCCUGUCAACAAAGGUCAAAUUAGACAAAUAAACAACAAAGUCAGUGAAAAAAGAAUCAGCCUGUUACUUAAGUUUACACGUUUUUCUUUUUCUACAGAAGCCCAAGUGGACAAAGCAGCAGGAGGACGAUUUCACACUUUGAAGCAAAAGCCUUGUAUGCAAACAAAGAAGAAUAACGUUCUUUCCAGUAUUUGACAGCCACCGUAGAUCUCUGACACGCUUAGGAAAGGUGAGAGUCAGAAAGAUCUCCUCCAGAUGACCUGCAAAGUUCUCCAUCUCAGCAACUUUUCCUUGCAAAAGAUUCCUGGUUUUGUCGAUUUCUCUCUGGAAAACAUUUUGAAAUCAGACGUUUACAGUCAAAUUUAUAUUAGAAAAGUAAAUAAUAAUACCUUGAAUUUUCCCAUAGCACAAAAAGUUUUUACACAUACUGUAUAUAUGUAGAAAUAUACUACACAUAAGUAUGUUGAUAUAAUUGCAUGGUGGCUUUAAAAUAAAAAUCAUUUGUUUUUU